UACGAGGGGCCCAAACGUUAUUCGGAAUUACUGGGCUUAAAGAGUUCGUAGGCGGCGCGGAAAGUAGGGUGUGAAAGCCCUCGGCUCAACCGAGGAAUUGCGCUCUAAACUACCGUGCUUGAGGAAGCUAGAGGUGAGCGGAACUGAUGGUGGAGCGGUGAAAUGCGUUGAUAUCAUCAGGAACACCGGAGGCGAAGGCGGCUCACUGGGGCUUUUCUGACGCUGAGGAACGAAAGCCAGGGGAGCGAACGGG
RNAcentral lists this ribosomal RNA (253 nucleotides) under uncultured bacterium. RNAcentral describes it as "partial 16S ribosomal RNA". It matches the Rfam family "Bacterial small subunit ribosomal RNA", at positions 524 to 776 of the family's 1533-position model. The record is from RNAcentral.